This 253-nucleotide ribosomal RNA is filed under the name uncultured bacterium. RNAcentral describes it as "partial 16S ribosomal RNA". It matches the Rfam family "Bacterial small subunit ribosomal RNA", at positions 524 to 776 of the family's 1533-position model. The record is from RNAcentral.
UACGAAGGGUGCAACCGUUGCUCGGAAUUAUUGGGCGUAAAGCGCACGUAGGCGGCCUUGUAAGUCGGAUGUGAAAUCCCUCGGCUUAACCGAGGACGUGCAUCCGAAACUGUGAGGCUCGAGUAUGGAAGAGGGUCGCAGAAUUCCCGGUGUAGAGGUGAAAUUCGUAGAUAUCGGGAGGAAUACCAGUGGCGAAGGCGGCGACCUGGGCCAAUACUGACGCUGAGGUGCGAAAGCGUGGGGAGCAAACAGG